CUGUGUCACAUCUUGGAAUACUGGUGUGAAAACAAAGGAUGCAGAAGUUCUAGAAGUACUGCUGUGGAGGACUGGUGACGACAACAGCAGUCACCAUAAUGAGGAGAAGAUGAGCUCCGCCUACAGUCCCAGCACUCGUAGUUUCAUUCAUGAGGAUGAACGCAUUUCAUCCUCUAACAGCUCCGGGACGCAGGUUACGAACAGAAGCCAACCCCUGAUCAUUUCAGUGUAAUGAAGCAUCUACUGUCAAAGAAGGAAAUCAUUUUUUAAGUCCAUAUACAUACUGAAUCUUCAGAUUCAGAGAUGUUUACAUUUCUGGAUAAAAAUCAGUGUACUUAUGGAAAAUAAAGGCAUGUUUGAAACUGCUUAGAGGAAAAGAAUGUGGUAUGAACCUUAAAGGAGAAACUACAAACCAAGCGAGACCUAUGUCAUCACAUCCUCUGAAGCAUGAAUGAGAAACAAGGAAAUGACUGUGGUUUCCACUUCAGAUCUGAUUCAUAAAUAGAGGGCAAGUCUCCCACAA
This is a long non-coding RNA of Suricata suricatta (meerkat), 523 nucleotides long. RefSeq lists it as uncharacterized. The transcript has 4 exons. NCBI's taxonomy places the organism in Eukaryota, Metazoa, Chordata, Mammalia, Carnivora, Herpestidae. The record is from RefSeq and is a predicted model, not a curated record.